UCCCCGGUCGUCUAAUGGUAGGACAGCGGCCUUUGGAGCCGUGAACCGUAGUUCGAGUCUACGCCGGGGAGCCA
This 74-nucleotide transfer RNA is filed under the name Bryobacteraceae bacterium. RNAcentral describes it as "tRNA-Gln". It matches the Rfam family "tRNA". Rfam says of the family: Transfer RNA (tRNA) molecules are approximately 80 nucleotides in length. Their secondary structure includes four short double-helical elements and three loops (D, anti-codon, and T loops). Lineage: Bacteria; Pseudomonadati; Acidobacteriota; Terriglobia; Bryobacterales; Bryobacteraceae. The record is from RNAcentral.